Molecule: ribosomal RNA, 1266 nt
Filed under: Halomonas sp. HL46
Lineage: Bacteria; Pseudomonadati; Pseudomonadota; Gammaproteobacteria; Oceanospirillales; Halomonadaceae
Description: bacterial SSU rRNA
Rfam family: Bacterial small subunit ribosomal RNA
Source: RNAcentral
CCCGGAGAGGCGGCGGUCUAACAUGCAGUCGAGCGGUACAGGUCCAGCUUGCUGAGAUGCUGACGAGCGGCGGACGGGUGAGUAAUGCAUUAGAAUCUACCCGGUAGUGGGGGAUAACCUGGGGAAACCCAGGCUAAUACCGCAUACGUCCUACGGGAGAAAGGGGGCUUUGGCUCCCGCUAUCGGAUGAGCCUAUGCCGGAUUAGCUGGUUGGUGAGGUAACGGCUCACCAAGGCGACGAUCCGUAGCUGGUCUGAGAGGAUGAUCAGCCACAUCGGGACUGAGACACGGCCCGAACUCCUACGGGAGGCAGCAGUGGGGAAUAUUGGACAAUGGGGGCAACCCUGAUCCAGCCAUGCCGCGUGUGUGAAGAAGGCCCUCGGGUUGUAAAGCACUUUCAGCGAGGAAGAACGCCUGGUGGUUAAUACCCGCCAGGAAAGACAUCACUCGCAGAAGAAGCACCGGCUAACUCCGUGCCAGCAGCCGCGGUAAUACGGAGGGUGCAAGCGUUAAUCGGAAUUACUGGGCGUAAAGCGCGCGUAGGUGGCUUGAUAAGCCGGUUGUGAAAGCCCCGGGCUCAACCUGGGAACGGCAUCCGGAACUAUCAGGCUAGAGUGCAGGAGAGGAAGGUAGAAUUCCCGGUGUAGCGGUGAAAUGCGUAGAGAUCGGGAGGAAUACCAGUGGCGAAGGCGGCCUUCUGGACUGACACUGACACUGAGGUGCGAAAGCGUGGGUAGCAAACAGGAUUAGAUACCCUGGUAGUCCACGCCGUAAACGAUGUCGACCAGCCGUUGGGUGCCUAGCGCACUUUGUGGCGAAGUUAACGCGAUAAGUCGACCGCCUGGGGAGUACGGCCGCAAGGUUAAAACUCAAAUGAAUUGACGGGGGCCCGCACAAGCGGUGGAGCAUGUGGUUUAAUUCGAUGCAACGCGAAGAACCUUACCUACCCUUGACAUCCUGCGAACUUGGGAGAGAUACCUUGGUGCCUUCGGGAGCGCAGAGACAGGUGCUGCAUGGCUGUCGUCAGCUCGUGUUUGGUGAAAUGGUUGGGUUAGUCCCGUACGAGCGCACCCUUGUCUUAUUUGCAGCGAGUAUGCCGGACUCUAGGAGACUGCCGGUGACAGCGAGAGGUGGGACGACGUCAGUCAUCAUGGCUACGGGUAGGCUACCCACGGUGCUCAAUGCGUACAAGGCUGGCGGAGCUCCGGAAGUCACGAUCCUUAGCGUCAGUCCGAUCGGGAGUCUGCAAUCGACUCCUGGGAGUUC